Diachasmimorpha longicaudata is the source of this 5479-nucleotide RNA transcript. It is a transcript of the gene named Outer segment 1, with no coding region annotated. Lineage: Eukaryota; Metazoa; Arthropoda; Insecta; Hymenoptera; Braconidae. The record is from RefSeq and is a predicted model, not a curated record. The transcript is spliced from 5 exons.
AUUUUCAGGAAACUCGAUGACAUUUGGAAUCGUAAGUUUGACCUCAGUUUUAUAAUCGUUUAUGUUUUCUCCAUAAAAAUGUUAAAAGUCAAAACUUAAGCCCAGAGGCUUAAGGGAGAUUGCUGACGCUUGUGGAGCGGAUUCAACCGCAAAAUUUCGUAGCGGUGGCGGAUGAACUACGAUGGUGGACAUGGUUGUCGGUAAAGCAUCACCACGGACUACGUGGCAUUCAAUUUGUAGGGCGAUUUGGGGUUUUCCGAAAGCUCCCGGAAUAUUCUAAAUCCCAUUUGUGCAUUUUUGGCGUCUUCCUGAGCUCAUUAAGAACGGAGAAACAAUUUUUUAAUGAACAAGUGGAUUUCGGGAGCCUCAUCCAUCCACGCCAGAAUCGACGGUGGCGUGCUCCACCGCUGGAAUCAUAACUAGCGUUGGCAUGGGGUCGGCUGACCCCCGGGACCUAUCCUCUGAGUUGAAGUUGUUCGGAUAGUGUGGGUGACGUGACCGUAGACUUUACGGACUUCCGAAAAUUCAUAGCGUUUCCGUGGUAACGGCAUAACAGAUCAAUUUGACAACUCUGUGACCCAUCGAAAGAUACAAACAAGAAAAUUUAUCAAUUAUUGUUGGAAGUUAUUAUUUAUCAAAAUGAGGGCACACCCAGCGUGGGUGGACAGAGUUGAAGACAAAACGGAGCAAUGCAUUUAUGAUCUGUGUUUUAAUCCUGAUGGGAGUCAACUCAUUGUUGCUGCUGGCCAGCAAGUGCUUGUUUAUGAAUCAGAAAAGGGGGUGUUGAUUCAAACUUUGAAAGGUCAUAAGGACACAGUUUAUUGCGUGUGUUACGCAAGAGACGGGAAAAAAUUUGCCUCCGGUGGUGCUGACAAGAGCGUAAUCGUCUGGACAUCGAAACUCGAAGGAAUUUUAAAAUACUCUCACAACGAUGCAGUUCAGUGUAUGCAAUUCAAUCCAGUGUCUCACCAGCUCGUCAGCUGUUCUAUAUCGGACAUCGCCUUUUGGUCCUCUGAGCAGAAAGCAGUCCAAAAGCACAAAUCAGGAGGUCGAGUCAACUGCUGCGCCUGGACAAGAGACGGUCAAUACCUAGCGAUUGGAUUAGCAGCUGGAUACGUGUCUAUCAGAAACAAAAAUGGCGAAGAGCAAGCACGAAUUGAGAGAUCAGGAGCAACGUCAAUAUGGAGUCUAUCCUGGGGUCCUCUAAAGGAUGACUCUAACAUGGAUGUCCUCUGUAUAGCAGAAUGGGGUGGAACAAUAUCCUUCCAUACCCUAUUCGGUAAACAAAUCGGCCGAGAGAGAAUUCUGAAUUUCAUUCCCCUAAAAAUCACACAUUUUCCUGAAGGCCAGUAUCUCCUGGUGGCUGGAAGCAACAAGAAAUGUCUCUUGAUGACCCACGAGGGAAUUCAACUUGCCACAGUCAGUGAUUCUUUCUCGACCUGGGUCUGGAGCUGUGCAGUCCAUCCCUCCUCGUCUCACGUAGCUGUGGGCAGCCAAGAUGGCACCAUCACCUACCUUCAGAUCACCUGGAGCAUCGUCCAUGGUCUCUACGGGGAUCGUUACGCCUAUCGCGAGAACAUGACUGAUGUGAUAAUCCAGCACUUGACGACCAAUCAAAAGGUCCGAAUUAAAUGCAAAGAUUUGAUCCAGAGAAUAGCUGUUUAUCGAGACAAACUAGCUGUUCAAUUACCAGAACGAGUUAUUAUUUAUGAACCAUCUGGUUCCAACGACAGCAUGCACUACCGAAUUCAAGAGAAACUUCCCCAGACACUGGACUGCAGCCUCCUCGUGGUGACGUCCAGCCACUUGGUUUUGUGUCUUGAAAAAAGACUCCAGAGUCUGUCAUUCACUGGACUCGUGGAGAGAGAGUGGAUCCUAGACAGUCCUAUCACGUAUAUCAAAGUGGUUGGAGGCCCAGCAGGGAAGGAGUGUCUUGUGGCGGGUCUGAAAACCGGUCAAGUGAUGAAGAUUUACCUGGACAAUCCUUUUCCCGUACAUUUAGCCAAGGUAGACGGUCCAAUUCGCUGCUUGGACGUCAGUUCACUCAAGGAGAAACUGGCUGUUGUCAGUGAAACCAAUACUCUAUCCGUAUUCGAUCUUUAUACUGAGGAAAAACUCCAGGAGUUUUAUGACGUAACGAGUGUUGCCUUCAAUCGUGCCUUCGAGGAUAUGAUGUGCUUCUCAGGUAGAGAUUAUUUGGCGACUAAAGUCGCUAAUUUUCCAGAGUACAAGCAAAAAUUUUGUGGAUACGUCGUUGGUCAUAAUGGCUCGAAAGUCUACUGCAUAAAUGGGACGAAUAUUAUCCGAGUUGAAGUUCCCCUGUCCUCCACGAUGUACCAAUAUUUGGAGAUUGGGAUGUUUGAUGAGGCUUAUGCUAUCGCUUGUCUCGGUGUUGCUGAGAGUGAUUGGCUGGCUCUGGGAAUAGCAGCUCUUGAUAAACUGGAAUUGAACAUAGCCUACGCUGCAUUUGCGAGACUUAAAAAAUUACGGUACAUUGAAAUUGUGUCUGAUAUUGAGGAGAAACUGAAGUCUGGAGAGUGGGGAAAGGAGGCCUGUAUGGCAACUGGUGCUGCAGCAAUGGGGAGAUUACGAGACGCAGCGAGACUCUAUCAAAAGGCUGGAUUACAACAGCACGCCCUUGACAUGUAUUCCGACCUGAGGAUGUUUGACAUAGCUCAGGAGUUCAUAGCAGCUGGAAAUACACAAGACAGAACAGUCCUCCUACGAAAACGUGCCGAGUGGGCAAAGAGUUUGGGAGAGCCUCGAGCAGCUGCAGAAAUGUUUCUCGCUGCUGGUGAUGUCCAGAGGGCCAUAAAUAUCAUAGCGGAGUACGGCUGGAUUGACAUGUUGAUAAAAGUUGGCCGGCAAUUGGAUAAAGCUGAACGUGACAGUCUGUCGAUAAUUGCGAAGAAAUUGAAACAACUGGGAGCAACUCAUGGUGCAGCUGAAAUUUUCAGUCGCCUUGGGGACGAUCCAGAUGUUGCUGAUGUCCUCGUUGAUGCCCAGGCAUGGCCAGAGGCCUUUGAACUUGCCGAGAGAAAUCCCAAGUUGAAAUCCAGGGUUUAUGGGCCUUAUGCGAGGUGGUUGGCGGAGACUGGAAGAUUCUCAGACGCACAGAAGGCUUUUCAGACUGCUGGACAGCCGGAAGAGUCCAUCGUGGUUCUCACAACAUUGGCUAACAAUGCAGUGUGUGAAAAAAGAUUCAGGGAUGCUUCCUAUUUUUACUGGCUCCUGUCUCAGUUGAGUUUGGAGUUGAAUAAAAAUUCUGAGGACGUUAAAACUAUAUUUAUGGAGUAUUCUGAUAAAGCUGAUGUGUAUUAUGCGUAUUUCGAGGUGUUCAAGUACAUGGAGGAGCCGUUUACGUCGUUGAUGCCUGAGGCACUCUUCAAUAUAUCAAGAUUUUUGUUGAUGAAGAUUCAGGGAUUAAGAGCCGAGGGAAUUUCAAAACUGACGAUAACUUAUGCACUAGUGAAACAAGCGAGGAUUCUUGGAGCUAAUAAAUUAGCGAUGCAAUUGCUGGAGAGAUUGAGGGGAAUGAAAGUUCCCGAGCAUCUUCAGGCGCAAAUUGAAGUCUCGACACUGGGGGCUCGAGCUUAUCAGUACAGGGAUCCUGAGGAGCUACUGCCACUGUGCUACAGAUGCUCGACCUUUAAUAGUCUUUUACCGGCGAAUAAUUCGUCUAGUAAUCGGUGUAUUCAGUGUGGACUCAAGUUUCAACAUUCUUUUGUGAUGUUUGAGACUCUUCCUCUGGUGGAGUUUGAACUGGAUAAUGCUAUUACUGAUGAGGAAGCUGAGAGGUUGAUUGAGGAGCCAGUGCCUUCGGAUGAUAAUUCUACGGUUGUUGAGGAUCAGUUGACGAUAAAUAGUAAUGAGGCUGAUUUGUUCACUGCCAGGCUAAUCAAGUUUGACGAUAAAAGUGGAGGGACUGUGAUCAAGGUUGGCAGGGGAGUUUUGAGGAGUAUGGAACCGUCCAGUGUGCUUAUUGUUAAGUGGCCAGAGCCGUUCAAGACUAGGUAUUAUAGGAAUUUAUUGACGGAUCUCCAGGUGACGUUCUGCAAAUCGUGUCUGAGGUUCUUCCACGCGGAUGACUACGAAUUGGCACUUCUCCGGCAUGGACACUGUCCCUUCUGCAGGAUCUCAAGUUCGUCAGUGAAUUGAUCGAACUCUAAAUUAGCUAUCACCUCACGUACCUGAAUUAAAACACUAAUUGAUAGCCUUUACCAUGGGUGAUCGAAGGUUUGAUGACACCUUUCAGACAUCGAAUAUUCAUAUCUCGCGUCUGACCGAUGCGAGGGACGUUUACUGUCUGGUAGACUGUUGCCCGGAGAGAAUUUUUCAUGAAAACUCUAUUGAGCGCACAGGAAAGAGGGGCAAAGUUACGGCGAGAGAAAAAUUCUAGUCCUGGCGCGGUAAAUCGCAUUGGGAGGAACAUGAAUUUUUCUCCGCAUUUCUGGGAAAAUUUAUAAAAAAUUGGCGAGAAUUCUUUUUCUCUGCGCUUCCUUACGUGCGGAUAAAUAAGAGAAAUGAUUAUCUUUAUUUACUCCUGACUUUUACCAAUUUUACACAAUUUAGAAGUCACCCGUAGACGAAAGGGGUCGGGGAAACAAAAAUAUUAAAGAGGUCACAGAUAUGAAACAAUAGUCCAAUUACUGGGCACGUGGACACGAAUUAACAAUUAUUUUUUAGCUGGUGAAGGCGUAUUACAUCAGAUCUUACGACCCCGUCAUUUAACGUGUUGGGGUGUAAAUCGCUAACGUUGCGCCCCAGUUACCUACAUUCGUCCAUUAUACGUGGAUUUGGUUCCCAUAUAAUCGUGGAGUGUUUUAAUUUUCCCUUCAACAUAUUUUCGUCCAAAUAAAAAUAACCACUUUCGUGUCUACUUAUCAUCCGGAUUGGAAAAGAGAUAUGUUAUGAAAUUUCCGGGGUUAACAAUAAAAUGAUAAUCGGUGUAGAAUAUGAAGAGGAGAGAAGUCGACGAUUUCGAUAUAACACCGAACUCUAGGGGUUUCAGUUUCGUUCACAUUGACUGUUACACUGGGUAUGUUCAUCAUGAUGGUUUCGAAUAAUUGUCUUUCCAGCUGAUCGGAAUUAUCUGCUGCGAGAUCGCGUAUGAUAACAGCUGUGUGGAUAUCACCAGGUAGAAGGAGGCGAGUAAUCACACUUUUCAAUCAAUCGACUUCUGAUCGACUUAAGUUUUGGCUCAAUGAAAUUGCGAUUAUGAACAUUGAGAGGAAAAAUUUUGCACUAGACAUGAUAGAGGAAUGUAAUUCCUGACCUGAACUCAGGCUAGUUCAUCUCUUCUUUUGGUGUAAUUUCAAUACUCAAUGAACGAACCCAUUAGUUACAUAUACUAGCGGUACUCAUAGUCCAGUUAUCCAAAUUAUCCUGACAUUAUUGAAUUUACCAGUCGAAGAGUUGCUAAUUGUCAUGUCUGUUGAGCAAACUAUUCCCCGUUAUCCGGAUCGUUGAGACGGGUUUU